UGAGGAAUAUUGGGCAAUGCCCGCAAGGGUGACCCAGCAACGCCGCGUGGAGGAUGAAUGUCGUAAGAUUGUAAACUCCUGUUAGAGGGGAAGAAUAGUACCGGUUGGACCGGUAUAUGACUGUACCCUCAGAGAAAGCCCCGGCUAACUACGUGCCAGCAGCCGCGGUAAUACGUAGGGGGCAAGCGUUGUUCGGAGUUACUGGGCGUAAAGAGUGCGUAGGCGGUUUUCUAAGUUCGGUGUGAAAUCUCCCGGCUUAACUGGGAGGGUGCGCCGAAGACUGGGAAGCUGGAGUGUGGGAAAGGCAGGCGGAAUUCCUGGUGUAGCGGUGAAAUGCGUAGAUAUCAGGAGGAACACCGGCGGUGUAGACGGCUUGCUAGACCAUAACUGACGCUGAGGCACGAAAGCGUGGGUAGCAAACA
Molecule: ribosomal RNA, 422 nt
Filed under: uncultured bacterium
Lineage: Bacteria
Description: bacterial SSU rRNA
Rfam family: Bacterial small subunit ribosomal RNA
Source: RNAcentral